This 22641-nucleotide long non-coding RNA is filed under the name Eucalyptus grandis. RNAcentral's name for it is "long non-coding RNA (EGRA_LNC006362)". Lineage: Eukaryota; Viridiplantae; Streptophyta; Magnoliopsida; Myrtales; Myrtaceae. The record is from RNAcentral.
GACAGUGACGUACUUUUCUCAUCCAUAUAUAAUUGAAGGUACCUCAUCUCAUGUAUAUUGUCUCCUUCCUACAACUAUUGAUACCGCGAAUGGUUGAGUUCUUGCUUCUCUUCACGACAAAAUGAGGAAAUCAACGGCGAGCAAUUGGAUCGAUUUAGCAAGCCCCGGUGUUCAUGGUGAUGAUGGAGCGGAUCUUCUGCUACUCAAGUCCGGAGUGAUCUUCGUGCUGUGCUUGAUCCUUGCGUCAGUUGUUAUAUUUUUCCUGUGGCGACUCUCAGAAUGAAAACGGCCGCCGCCACGGAGGCGGCGGUGGAGGCGGUGGAGGUGGCGGUUGUGGUGGAGGAGGUGGGGGCGGCGGUUGCGGCGGGGGCGGCGGGGGGUGUUGAAUUGACCUUAUAUUUAUAUACCUUUAAGGCAUGAGUCAAAAAAAAAAAAAAAGCAGUUUCAUGUCAAUAAAUUGCAAUACGAUAGUGUGGUCUGUGUUUCAUUUUAGGAUUGCUAUUAGGGUUAAGUAUCUUGUAAUUUACAUAUGUUGUAUUUAAGUAUAAUUGUACUCUCCCCCCAUACUUGUGUUCUUCAUUUGAUAAUUUGCGGAUAUUAUAAUCCUCUAUGUUUACAAUUCUCAACUUGAUGUCAGAGUUAUUUGUUCUUUGAGGGAAAACCCUUUUUUUUUUUUGUUGAAAGAUAGUAAUUUCAUUACUAGCCCGCUAAAGGGGCACCAUUAGUUGGCAAAUCUAAACAUAGAAUUAAAUAUAAAGAACGAGGAGGAUUAGCAAUCCAAUUGCUAGGAAGUGAUUUGGUUCAGUGGGCGUUAGUGACCCAAUCCGCCGCCUUGUUAGUGUCUUGCGGCUCAUAGAUAAUUGAAACUCCACUAACCUAGGCCAAUAUUCCCCUGCAAUCUGCGACUAUGGGCUAGGCCGGCCAAGGGGGUUCCUCUAGGCCUGAUAAGCUGUUUACUAGUGAUAAGUUAUCAGAUGAAAUGAACACCUGCAAUUCAGUUCCUCCUUUUAGCUUCUGGUUUUGUUCUGUUCAUGUGUCUCUUCUGUUCUGCACCCAAAGUGCCGCUUCUCUCAUAGCUAGGGCUUCGGCGACCCACGCGGACAGAGCAUAGAUCGACUUUGCAAAACCAUGAAGGAGGAGACCGGCGUCAUUUCUGCACACCCUAGCAACCGAUCCAACCUUGGACGAUCCGCACCAGGAGCAAUCUACAUUUAGUUUCAUCUCAUUUGCUGAAGGUGGGUUCCAUUUCAACACUGGUUGAGGAGCUACUGGUGACCCUCAGCGACUGUUCUUCCCCCUCAAGUUCCAUUUCUUAAAGAGUGUUGUUGUGAUGCUUGUCUUUUCUUGAGUUGCGGUUGGGUCAGGCUUCCGCCCUUGGAAGUCUGAUGCGUUGCUAAACUUCUAGAUCUACCACAGAGCACCAACAAACAUGGCUUUCAAGUUUGGAUCUGCUCGUGAGGUGAGAUUCUCGGAAACCCACUUAUCAAUGCAAGUGAUUCAUUCUGGAGAUGUAUCAGCUUGAAAGUUAGGGGCUGACCAUAUGUUUUUUGUCCAAUCAUAGAGGAUGAAGAGGCGCUCUGCUGAUUCCGGGGCUUGUCCACAUAUCUGACAGGUAGGAGCAGGUAGCAUUUUCUUUUUAUACAAGUUUUCCUUCAUGGGGAGUGUGUUGCUACAUAUAUUCUAUAGUAAGAAGCGAAUUUUGAGAAAAGUAUGAAGCUUCCAAAUUUCGUUCCAUAGCGACUUAGGAGUUUGGUAAGAUGAAGACGGGAUAUUUGUAGUGGGGAUUUCAGCCUUGUUAUGUAUUCUGUUGUAGCCGCUUUUCACAUUAUAGGAGCCCAAUCUAUUUGAUGUCCACACAAGCUUAUCUGGAUGGGGCGUUAGGCUAAUGGGAGUAGCUAAAAUCUCUUUAGCUAUAUCUUCCUCAAACAGGUCGUUCACUCGUUGAGUAUCCCAUUCAUUGACUCAUGAUCAAUUAAGUCAGCCACCACCCUAGGUUCAUCCCGAUUUGCGGGGCCGAUGAGCUUUCUUGAAGGUAGGCAUGUGUCUUCUCUAAUUCUUAUUUUCUGUCCAUCCCCCACUGCCCACCUAGAUUUAGGUUCAAUUGUAUUUCUCCCCAUCAAUAAACUUUGCCACCCCAGGAUGGCCGAAAACCUUUGUUAGUUGAUGUUGACACCUAAAAUUUGGUGACCUGUUUAGUCAUUUAUCGCAUUAAAAAAAAUUAGGGGUUAAUUUUAUUUCCGAAAAGAUAGUUAAUUACAUAGCAUAUAGUUUUAUGUGCAUUUAUUUUUAAUUUGCAUUUACAUUGGGCCGAUGACGGAUGGGUUCGAAUUGAUCGUUUAUAAACUUUAAUUUGAUGAGUUGAGCUAAGCCUAUGAAGAGAGCAAAUAGACCCAAGCCCGUAUUCGAUGAGUUGGGCUAAGCCCAUGAAGAGAGCAAAUCGACCCAAACCCGUAUUCUCGAUGAGAUUUUCGAAUUUAUCUUUGUGAUAUUUCAAUUCAAAAACAAAUAUUGCGUUUGGAAAAGAAAUCUUCGUGAAUAUCAAUUUAAAAAAAAUUAAAACCCUAAUAUGUGAUCUAUAAAUAAGUUAAAACGUGUAGGGUUUUAGGGGGCACGCAUAUAAUACACGGCCACAAUUCAUGAGAGGGGCUUUUCUCGAUCAAAGAAAUUCAACAAAAAAAAAAAAAAAUGGAGCAAAAGCCAUGUUCGUUUGAAAAGUAAGGGCAAAGAGAAGGUACAGCAGAACAGUCGAGGGCAGAGAGGAAGGGACGUCUAGCAGCAAGAGAGAGAGAAAAAGAAAAAAACAGAGGCUACUGUUCUUCUCCUUCGUUGGGUCCCCCGCCGGUGUCCCCUUACAGCCCGAUCCUCUCGCCGCGCACCAGCAACCAGGCUUCCGGCACCGCCGGCGUUCCAUCAGUCGCCCGAGCUUCCCCGCACCCGCGAGCUCACGCCAUCACCUCACCCGCGAGUCCCUGCGACGCCUCUGCUCCUCCCGACGACCCGACGGCUUCGCCCACUCGCUCGUCGCUGCUUCUGUUCUGAGCCCCCCGAGCGACGCCGCACGCAGCACUCGCGACUCGGGUCACUCCUUCUCACCGCUCCCCCUACGACGUUGCUGCUACCGCCGGAUCUGUCUCGCCUGCAACCGACACCAGCCUCCACCUUCGAUGGACGCAACAGCAGCCCCCUGCUCCGUCGCGCCUCAGUCUCUGCUUCGCCCGCGAAGCCGCUACUGUUGCCGAUCCGCUCCACCAGCCCGACGAAGCCGCCGCUGUCCCGAUCUGCGACGACCCCCUGCAGCCGUCUAGGCCUCGCCUUAGCUUGCUGUCGCCACCUCUGCCCAAGCGCCAACGACGCCAGCAGCCGAGCUCCUCGCUGCCACCAGUAGCUCGCUUCUGCUCCGGCGUCCAGCAGCUCUCGCCGAUCACUGCUGAUCCGCCUGCGACCCUGCUGCCGAGCCCCCUUGCUGCCAACGCUACCGGUCCGCCCUCGCCGGAGCUCCGACGCCCGCCGCCGCCCCUCACUGGAACGCUGGCGACCAACCCCUUGGCGACCUGACCGGCGUUGCCCCCUUAGUUGAUUGGGCUACCAAGCCCCAUUUGGAACAAGAAAAGAAAAAAAGAAAAGCGAAUUAGGUAGAUUUUCUUUCUAUUUACUAUAUUUUAUAUUUUAUUUUAUUUAGUAGAAUUAUUCAUUGAUUGAGAUUCCGACAUGAAAUAGCCUCUCGAAUUGAGAAUUGUCAGUCCGAUUUUCACGUCCGAAAUCUGAUUCGCAAUCGCUUGUAAAAUCGUCAACCCAAUCUCACGUCCGAAAUUCGAUUCACGAUUUAAUUUUAAAAAUUGGUCAACCUAAUCUCAUGCGCGAGAUAUGAUUCACCAAUUUGUGGAUAUUGAUAAUAUCUUAUCUGAUUUGCCGUCAUGUAGGUUGAAUCAAUUUUAUUUUUGUAAAAAGAAAAAUCCAAAAAAAUAUUUGAAUUGGGAUUAUGUCAGUUUUAGAAUAUUUCUUGUUAUCUUGCAUAUUUAGAAUAGAGAUUUUAUUUCGAAUUUGUUAAAAAAUAAAAAAAUAAAAAAAUGCAUUCAUUUAAGAUGUUAGUUUUAAAUUUGAAUUGCACGUUUAAAUAUUUGGCAAUUUUUAAUUUCGAAUUUCAUAAAAGAAAAUUUUAAAAAAAUAGAAUUAUGGCAUUCUUUAAGCGUCAUUGCAUAUUAUGAUAGAUUGCAUGCUUAUUAAGAAAAUAAAAAUCAUGUGCCCGUCGUAUAGAAUUAGGUUCAUGAAAUGAUUGUUGCUAGGUUCAUUUAAUUAGAAAUUGCCCGUCAUUAAGAUUAGGUCAUUUUAGUUGAUUUAGAUUGCAUAUUUAAUUAUUGCCCAUUCAUUAAGAAAACACAAAAAAAAAAAAUUAUCUUACUCAUUCAUAUAGUUUAGGCUAUACUAUUAUGUCAUAUCAUUUCAUGUUAGAUUAGUAGCAUGCAUUGCAUAAAAGCAUGAUUCUCAUUAAAUAAAUGAAAACAAAAAAUUGAGUGGUUGCGUGUUAAUUAGAACUUAUAUUUAGGAUUGUUGAUGUAAAUUAUGAUCUAACACUGCAGAUGCUUUUGUUGCUAUAAAGUAAGUUCUACAUCCUUUUAUUUGCUUUAUUUGGGUGUUAAAUUAGUGGUUUCCGCACCCGUAUGAUCACUUUACAUGUUAAGAAGAUAAAUUAAAAUUAAUUCAAGCUACCUGCAAAACAUUUUUUCAAAAUAAAAAGAGAAAGAUACCGAAAGGGCAUUAGAAAAGUUUAGUGUAACCAAGUCCCCGUACCCAAGAAGUAAAAUAAUUCUUCAAUUAUUUUACUUAGGUGUCUAAUCGACCUACCGUAAACUGAUUAAUGGUGACUCCCUUUUACAUGCUAAAUAUUUAAACUUAAGUCGCAAAUUGAUAUAGGCUUGGGAGAGCAUCAGCUAAGUCUAGGCUUAGCAAUCAAUUAGCUUAAUUUUAAGUGGUACACCCGAAUUUUAGGUCGCGACAGUUGACGAAAAAUCACCUCUAGGAAAAUAAAUGCUUUUUAGAACUUUACACCAUACAUCCGGUGUUUGGACAAAUCUCCAAGCUUGCUUCCUCAGCAUUGCUUGAUUAAAAUCCACUAAAUCUUUAAAACCUAGGCCACCACAAUCUUUUCUAGUUUUCAGAUCUUCCCACUUUUUCCAAUGUAUACAUCUUCUAGUUGCAUUAUGUUUCCACCAAAAAGAGGCUACUUGCUGCUCGAUAGUGCAGUGCAGCAAAUAGAUGUUGGGAUUUUGAAAAUGGACAUAGCAUAUUGGGGUAGGGCUUGAAUAACUGUCUUGAUGAGAACUUCCUUUAUUGCCUUUGAAAUCAACCUCUCUUUCCAUCCUUCAAGUUUCAUUUCAACUUUAGCAAGGAUCCACGCAAACAUUUGCUUUUUGAUUUGACCCCAAUCAGAUGAAAUUCCCAGAUAUUUUCCUGUUUUAUCUAUGAUUGGAACUCUCAACUCAGCAGCUAAAUUCUGUUUAAGGCUCUAUGGGCAAUCUCUCCCAGUGAAAAGCCCUGAUUUAUUGAGAUUUAUAACUUGUCCCGACACCUAACAAUAUUGAUUUAGUACAUUAGCUACAUUCUGAGCUUCUCUUAUUGUUCCAUUUAAGAAGAAAAUUGCAUCAUCAGCAAAAAAAAGAUGUGAGAGAGUUGGGCAUGUGGGAUUUAGGUUAAUACCCAUAAUACUUCCAUCUGUUACUACUUUACCCAUAAGGGUUGAUAGGACAUUGGCCAUAAUAAUGAAUAAAUAAGGGGAGAGAGAAUCACCUUGCCGAAUUCCUCGAGUUGGUCGAAAGACAGCUGAGGGAUCUCCAUUUACUAAGAUGCUGAACGACACCGAUGAGAUGCAAUGCUUUAUCCAUGUGACCCAUUUCUCAUUGAAUCCCAAUCUUAGCAUAUAGUCACAUAAAAAUCCCAUUCGACCCUAUUAUAAGCCUUCUGCAUAUCUAGUUUUGAAAUGGCUUGAAAAUUACGCAUUCUCCUUCUCAACCUGAGUUGAUGAAUCACCUCCUGGACUAUGAAAAUGUUGUCCUGAAUCUAGCGGUCUCUUAAAAAGGCACUUUGCUCCACAUAAACAAUUUUUGGAAGCCAUGGUUUCAGUCUAUUAACCAACACCUUUACUAUAAUUUUAUAAUUAAAGUUGCAAAGGCUUAUAGGUCUAAAUUGGGUGAUAUCUUCUGGAUUUGUUACUUUAGGAAUGAGAGUGAUAUGCGUUCUAUUAAGCUUUGGGUCAAGUGUAACUUGACUGAAAAAAGGAUCGAACCAUGCUGAAUAUGUCUUUGUGUAUAAUAGGCCAUUGACUUUUAUAAAAUACUAUGUUUAACCCAUCUGGUCCUAGUGCUUUUGUAGCCCCUAACUAAAAAUCAGUAUCUUUAACUUCCUCUUUUGUGACUGGUUUGAUCAGGUCGGCAUUCAUCUCCUCAUUUACCACCACUGGACAUUGAUCUAAUACUGGUUGGUAGUUCCUUUCUCCCACCAAACUAAAUAGGAAUUGAUAGAAGCUACGGAUAUGUUGUUUAAGGGUUGAGGGGUCCCUACACCAAGUCUUGUCAUCGAGCCAUAGCAUGGAUAUUUGGUUUCAUUGUCACGUUUAAACUGUUGUAGCAUGAAAGUACUUUGUGUUUUGAUCUCCCUAUUUUAACCAUUGAAUUCUCGACCUCAUACACCAGUACAUCUCUUCUUGUUGCCAUAACUCUUCAAUUUUCCUUACAAUAUUGCUGACUUCCUCUCUGUUUUGCUCCCCAUAAGUUUUUUUUUUUUUUGGUAAUCCAGGGAACCCCGUAAGCCGAUAGCCAGCGAGCAAAUCAUGGGGGAGCGACUGCAAGACCCACCACCACAGUACUCUAGGUAAAAAUCCCUAACGACACCUUUGGGAUUCGAACUCCUCCCCUUCGUGAGGGGGAAAGAGCCCAAGCCAGCUGCACCGCUGCGGGCGGUGGUUCCCCAUUAGUUCUAUUAGUCAAUUCUUGGAGCUUAAAUUUGAGUGGAGUGAUCUAUUUUUGACCAUUUUUAAAUUUUCUCCUGCUCCAUUUACUUAAUUCAGCAGCUACCAGCCUUAUUUUACUUGCCAAAGUAAGUUCAUUUGUUCUAUUUUCAUUCCAAACUUGCUUGAUCACUUUCUCACACUCUGGAUGUUCUAGCCAAUAGGUUUCAAACCUGAAUAGUUUCUUUCUUCUCUUCUAUAUUGGAUUUAAAGAUAGUAGAAUUGGGCUAUGGUCUGAGCCUAUCGUCGGAAGGGCAAAAGCCUCCACAUUUGGACAAAGGACUCUCCACUCCAUAUUACAAAUUGCCAUGUCCAAUCUCUUCUUUACUAAUGGAUUGCCUUCCCUAUUGUUUGACCAGGUGAAGGCGCAGCACUUACUCUCGAUGUCCAUCAAUGAGCAAGCAUCUAAAAAGUCCCGAAAAGCUGCGAUUCUAUAACAGUCCGCUUCUUGCCUCCCAAUCUUCUCCCAGUGGUAGAGCACCUCAUUAAAGUCUUCUAUGCAUAACCAUGGAAAUGGGUUAUUAUAAUUGCUGUCUUUCAAAGAUCGCCAUAGCCUUACUCUAUCUUGAAAGUUGGUUGAUGCAUGUAGAAAAGAUAUCCGCAUUAAGUAGCCACUACUUAAGUCUUGACAUUGGAUGUUAAUGACCUCUCUGGAGCUUCCUUCCACUUCCACCUUAACCUCCUCAUCCCACAAUAAUGCUAGGCCUCAUGCUAUACCAACCGGCUUGAUGACAAAAGAGUAUUUGAGCUAAAUCCUUUUCCUCACUCUCUCUACAACAUUAGUCUUGUUCUUGGUUUCCAUGAGGAAAACCAGAUUGGGCCUUUCCUGAGCCACUAAGGCUCUGAAGUGCUAAACUAUCAAGGGUGUGCCUAGCCCCUAACAGUUCCAGCUUAAUAAUUUCAUCUAUUCUUUGGUGGCUUAUUAGGGCCAGCCACCAAAACCCAUGCAUUAGCCCCUUCCCAUGACUGAAUUAGGGCAUCCAGGAGUUGGUCUUCAUCCACUAAGAGAUCCUGUGAGGUUUUCUUCUCAUAAAGACUGAUGCGCUUUUGUUUUUUAACCACAGGAGAUUUAUAUAUUGCCUUUCCUUUCUUGGACUUCAUUUGAUGCAUAUCAUUCCCUGCAAGAGAGGGUAAUAAGAUUUGAUUUUGAUGUGGUAUUUUACUACUGCUUGUUGGUGCUUGAUCUAUCUUAUGGGUCUCAUCCCUAAUCUCCUUCGCAAUAGGAUGUGCAAUAACAAUUGCUAAUUCAUUUGUUUCAGCUUGCUAUGUUCUCAGGGGUUCGUCGGUAGCCAUUAUGGGAGUUUCCAUCACAACCUCUUCCUCCAUAGCAGUGAGUUCAAUUUAUCCAUAAAAGGUCUUCCAGUAAGAGCUAACUUCUCGGACUUCCGCCUUCAACCACGAACCAUAUCAACCCGGUUGAUCCUAAGCUAGGUUGGUUUCCUCAUAAGGUAUUUUCGAACAGGAAUUUGCAUAAUGUCCAAUUCAACCACAAGAAAAGCAAAAAUGUGGGAGCCUUUCGUACUUAAAAUCUAUCCACCAUUUUUCCCCCACAUUGAUUAUAGUGCCUGUUUUGAGUGGGUUUGAUAGGUUCAACAGCACCCUUGCCUUUCUACAUUUGCGGGAGUUGUUAUUUCUCGCCUCCAUUUUGAUCUCCUCAACUUUUCCCAAUUUAGAGGCUAAACGACGUAUGGAGUCUUGAGUUACUCUAGCACAAGGGAGGCCUAUAAUAUGCACCCAAAAUGCAUAAUGCGAGAACUCAUAACAAUGUUCAAGUAUAUUUGGGUCUCCCUCCUUUAGGACUAGUAGAUUACUUGUGAAAGACUACGGCCCCAAUUCUAAAACCCUUUUUUUUUUCUUCAAUUGAGUUGAAUAAAAAGGAGAAAAAACCUGGUUCAAUCAGCUCACAUUUUACUGAUUCUGUUUUCCAUACUCUUCUCAUGGUAGUAAAGAAAGCCUAGAAAUUAACGUUAGGUUUAGAAAAUAGCUUGCCAUAGAGAGUUAACUCACUUUCUUGCCUUUCUUCCUCUGGAAUGUCAGCCCCUAGAUCUGUAAUAUCCUCUUUGGACCACAAAUCUCCCAUUAUUCGACAUAAGGCUACCAUUCGGAGAUGGUUGUCCUCCCCCCUGCCAUUUCUUGCCAGGUGUUCUGGGUUUAGUCAAGGUUAUAGGGUUGUAGUUAUGGAAUGAGGAAAAACCCAUUGAGUUUGUUCAUAGCCAGCCACACCGGCCACUGUUCUCCAUCAAGUCCUCACCUUUCAGUUGCAGUUCAACAUCAUUCCAUUGCUCAAUCCAAAAAAUGGAGACCACCAACAGGCUCGUAGUCCUCAAACGGCCCAAAUUCCUAAAAACUCGCCGCAAUUGCACGCCAAAUGCCACCACAUGUCAUAUUAAAGUGGUGUCUUGUCAAGUCUAGCUCAAUGGGUUGUUGAUGUUAUUAUCCGAUUAUGUUAACCAAAAACUUACGGGGCACGUGUGUUGAGUUGAUUGGUUAAUUAAAACAUAUUUAUCACUUGUUUCCACCCUCGGCCUCAUUUGGUGUAUCUGACUUACCAAGAUUAAAAUGGAUUCCAAGUAUCCUUCCCUUUUGUUCUUGGCGUUAAUUGGAGAGGCUAAGAGGGAGCUAAGAAGCCUUAUAUUUUUGGCUGUUACAUCUAGUGGUCAUAGCUUGGCCGCUGGAUAUUGAUGUAACUUCACCAUCAUGUCAGCAUCUAUCCUACUCCGAGGUUUACACCAAGCAAGAAAGUUAUACUGAUGUUAGCUGUAGACCGUUCAAUUGGCUAGCACAAUCUACCCCGUUUAAUAGUAAUUUAGGAUGUGAAUCAUAACAUUUCUAUUUCAGGGAAUAAUUUCUUUUCAAAAAUAGUUCUUUUUUAUUUCUACUGCUUGAAACAAUUUCUAAGUAAAAUAACGUAUUUGGUAACUAUACAAAAUUUAUAUUCUCAGAAUAGAAAAAUAAUAGGAAUGUGUUGGGUAUAAUCCAUAAAUUUUUAUAUUUUUUUCGUUUUUCUUCCAUAAAUUUUUGUAUUUAUUCGUUUUUAUUCUUGCUCAUCAAUUGCCAAAUGUUGAUCUCUAAUCGCCAACCACCGCCCUCUACCCUCUGACCACCUCUAGCGGCCGGUGGGUUGCGGGUGGCGAUCGUACAACAGUGGGCAGAGGGCGACAAGCGGCAAGCGGCGGCAAUGAACAGUGGUUGGUGGCGGCAGCAGCCAUCAGUAGUCGGUGAUCGAUGAGCGUUGACGGUUGGGCGGUGGUGGCAGUCGAGUGGCAAUGGCUAGCUACUAACAGCAAAGGCCAGUAUUUGGCGGGCAUCGGUGGUCAAGCGACGAGCGUCGACGGCAGCAGGCAGUGAGUGGCGACAGUCGAUUGGCAACGACGGCGGCCGAACAUGGUCAGCAGUGGCUGCAGGCGGCGUCGAAUCCAAGGACAGUAGCCACAGCAAGGAAGAAGAACAAAAGAAAAAUAGAAAAGAAAAAAAUGGCUUAUUUCUAGAGAUUAUUUUCGGAAAUAAUAAUUUACAUUUUUUCAUUUUUUGUUUUUAUUCCAAAUUUAUUUUUAGGCCAUUUUUCUAUUCCGGGAAAAAGAAAAAUUAAUUUAUGUUGUCAAAUAGAUUUCUGUUCUUUUUUCUAUUCCGGAGAGUAAAAUCAAGGAACAAUCUAUUUUUUUUCUACUCGGGGAGUAAAAGAACAGAAAAAUCAAUGAACUGAAGCAUUCCCAUGCAGCCCCUUAAGCAACAACAACCCUGGCACUUGAUUUCUAGUGAAUGGUAGUUGUCCCACAGGAUUUUUUGAGUUAAUCUCGAAUUGUCGAUUUCCCUCCCUAGUUUUCAAGCAUCACUUCUUUGCUUCCAAGUUGAUCUUCUUUCUGUUCUAUAUUGUCCUCGAGAUGAUCAGUUGGUCAACUUGGGUUCUAAACCCAAUAUCGCGCCCCCAGUGCGGGGUCCUCCGACCCAUCCUCUUUCUCUGGACCUUGGUCUGCAAUGCGGAUCUCAACUUUCCUACUAGCUAAUUCAUGUUGCCGUCGCUGUUGGCCGACGCCGCCGCGGUUGGCCGUUGUCACCGCCACCGCGGCCGGCCGUUGCCCGCUAACCAAGACACUUGAAAAAGAACAAGUAAUUAUAGUUCAGUAAGUAGUACGUAUCGGCCAGCCGUCGCCGCCACCGCCGCCACGGCCGGCCAGCGGUCGGCAAUUCUUGAGCAAUAAUAAAAAAUGAAUAAAUACAAAAAAGAAACUAUUGCGUUACCAAAUGCAUUUCUAUUCUUUUUCUAUUCCAAGAGUAGAAAUUUUGUGUAGUUACCAAACGGAUUUUUUUACUCAGAAAUUGUUCCCUGGAAUAGAAAUAGAAAAUAACUAUUUCUAAAAAAAAAAACCUCUUCUCUAGCCAAGAAGUGUUGUCAUGCGCAGCCCUAGCUACUGACCUUAGAGUUCCAAUUCCGCUAAAUCCCUAGGUCUCCCUUCGCGCUAGCUCACUCCUAACGCCAUUAGAUAUAUCACAGGUUCUCUUCUAAUUGUCGGCCGGGCUGGAAAGGUUUAUUUCCUGGAUGCUUCCUUGAAUCUUUCCAGGCCAAUGCAGGUGGCCGAGGAGAAGGGUUGGUCGCAUUUAUCUCCCCAGCACCCCAACGCUUCCCCUUUUUUAUUUAUAUUUUUAAAUGAUUAUCCUUUCUCCAACAAGGAUUGGAAUAAAAAAAUACUUGUACUUGGACUCACCUAACGAGACAGUGGAGGCUCCCAACAAGGUGAGCCGCUCUCCACAAAAACCAUUUAAGAAUGUGUUCGAUAAUAAUUCUGUUUUUAGAAAUAAUUUUUGCUUAAAAAUAGUUUUUUCUGAUUCUGUUUUUUGAAUGAGUUUCUAACCAUUUGAAGGCAUGUGGUAAUUGUCCAAAAUUUCUAUUUCUGAAAUAAAAAUGUGUUUGGUAUGAAUCUUAAAUUUUUUUUGUGACUUAAAAUUUCUUUUAAUUUUUUAAGUAAUUUUAUUACAUUUUUCUUUUUUCCUUUUCUUUCUCUUCUUCUUCCUCUUACCAGUCGCCAGCCUUGGGGGAGCCUCAUUGUCCCCCGGUGAGGCUCCAACGAGGUUGCCAAACCUCAUCUGGUCGGUCGCUAGCUAUCGCUAUGGCUAGCGAUCAGCCAGAGGAAAAAGAAGAGGAAGAGAAAAGAGAAAAAAAUAAAAUAAAAUGCUUGAUUCUGGAAUUAUUUCCAAGAACAAAAAAGAAAAUUUUUUGUACUUCUUAAUUCUAUUCUAAAUCUAUUCUCGAAAAUAAUAUUUUUUUUAUAUUCAACAAGGAAUAAAAAAGUUACUAAACGGAUUUUUUUUUUAGAAAUAAAAGAAUAUAAUCAAAUAUUGUUCCGUAAUUACUUGGCUUAGUAAGAUAUAAACCAUUAUACAAGUGAUUAGAAAAUGAACGGACCACAUCACCGUAGUGAGUAGAACGGAAAAAGCUACCUCUUGGACAUGAGCCAAGAAGGUUAUAUUAGGACGGGUAAUUAUGAGAUAUACUAAGUUAUCAACCAACUAUUGAUAGAGAGUAAAAUCUCGCAAUAGGGUAGGGUGCCAUUAAGAGGGUCCAGGUUGGCAUUGGGCUCCAUGGGCAAAAGUGACCUUAUCGUCAAUCAAACCCACAUCUAGAGAAUGAAAAUAUGGUGGUAUUUUCAUCUCUCCAUGGGAUCAUGAGGAAAUUAGAGGCAAGAAAUUUGGUCGCUUUUGCAAGCGCCGGAGUUCAUGGUGAUGAUGGAAUGGAUCUUCUACUGUUCAAGUCCGGAGUUAUCUUCGUGCUGUGCUUGAUCCUCACGUGGUCAUUAUGUUUUCUUGAGGCAAUGAUGGCAUCAACUCGUCUGUCUCUUGCCGCAAAUAGAGAAGGAGGGGAAAAUUAUCAAAAAAAUUCAUAAACUUAUUACACUUUUUUAAUUCAGUUUUAAAUCUCUUAAUUGUGUCAAUUCAAUCCUAAAUCUUUUUACGUUAUGUCAAUUGAGAUCAUUAGACAAAUCUUGUUUGAAAAUCGCUACCGUGAAUGCCAACCUUCCCACAUAGCAUGAUUGGCGAUAACAUAGAUAAAUUUUUAAUAAUAUUUCAAUUUUUUUUUUCUCUUCUUUUCUUUUCUUUCCUUUAUUUUUUCCUAAAUUUGGCCAUAGUCGAGGGCUAGUGACCCUCACCUAGUUUGGGCGAGGGUGUCCCAGCCCUUGCUAACCAGGCCAAUUGAGGAUCAUUGGCCCUCACUUGUGGCUGAUAAUGGUCGGCCGAUGACCUUGCUCGCCAAAAUUGGAGGAAAAAACAAAGGAAAUAAAAUAAACAAAUAAAUAAUUGAGAAAAUAUUAGAAUGUUAUUAAAAAUUAUUCAUGUCAAUACCACUCAUGCCACAUAGGACAGCAUCUAUGUCAAAUGAUUUUCUGGCUAAAUUUAGCUAAAUGGACUCAAUUGGCAAAAUAUGAAAAUGUUUAAAACUCAAUUGACGUAAUUAAACAGUUUAUGACAUAAGUGACUAAAAUAUAAUAGAUUUAGGACUUUUUGGAUAAUUUUCUCGAAAAAAGAGAAACAUCCAAUGUGGUCAUUACUACGUAGUCGGAGGUGAUGAUGGCCACCACCACGAUGGAGGCCACCACGGAAGUCACCAUGGAGGGGUGGUCAUGGGCCUUCGGCCACUCUCGUUGGAUGUGUGUUUUGCUACUAAAGCCUUCACUGGUUUCUUGACCAUGAAGUAGCAUUUUCCAUAACUCUCUAUUUUUAUUUUUAUUUUUUGUGGCCAAUGCUUAUCUCAUAUCCUCUGCUAUGCGAACAACCUUUAGUUUGGCGAGUCUUAGACACUCGAUGAGAGAGAAGCUUUGCUUGAGUAGGGAUGGAAGCUGGAGGGACUACGGUGAAAAACUCCUCGUAAUUUUGAAUUUGACACUUGAAGUUAAGAUCCAAGAUUGUUAUAAACGUUGGAGGGAUAUGUAAAUGGAGUCCCAAACCCAUCCGGUUGACUAGUGCUAGAACUUAACAAACUAUCCAACUAUAUUGUUUGGAUGGAUGGUUUUAACGAAUUAAAUAAAUGUUUUGAACCUAAGUUUAGAUGUUAUUAUAACCGAAUGGAUAAUCUGGUAAUUAAUUCGAAGGACCCACUUGCGCAAUUUCAAAGCACUCCGUGAUCUACUACCGGACGUGGAGUAGGGAAAUCAUUAUUUCAUCGGCAAGUCACCAAUAACUAGCUGCACUCAUUGCCAAUAUAAUAAAGCACUUUGUGAUCUGCUUCAGAAUAUUAGAUUCGAAAACGUACCAUGGAAUUUUUAUUGAUAAGUUACUAUUUAAUCGAAGGGGCCCACUUAUAAAAUUUUCAGGCAUUUGGUAUGCAUACUCAGCCUAUGAAGAUAAAAUCAUUAUUUCAUUUGUAAGUCGCAAACUACUUGAUGGCCCAAUUAUAAAAUUUUAUAGCACUUGGUAUCAUAUGACUGAAAAUGAAGGAUGAUAAAUGUUAUUUUAUCGAUAAGUUACUAAUUAAUUGCUAGAGCCCAUUUGCAAUAAAUAAUCUACUUGUGAAAGAGAUGGUAAAACCAUUUCUAACUCAUUGACGAGCUCAAUUAUCAAAUUGUAAAAAGAAUAAUUGGGUAACAGUUUUUAAUUUACUGUGAGAAAAAAAUUCUUUCUUGAACCACAAAAAACCAAAUAAUAAAUUAUUAUAUAUUAUGGCAGAGUUCACUCUUUAAAAAAUUUGUGGCUCACACAAUAAGUAGUUGUUUUCAAAGUAAACCAAAAACUGUUAUGUUAGUAAAGCCAAAUUUAAAAGCUCUUGUUAAUCUACUAUUGGAUACUAUUGGCCGAGAAAAAUCUAUAAUUGGAUACUAGAUUUGAGAAAAAUAAAAUCACUAUUUUGCUGGUAAGUUACAAAUAGUUGACUGGACAAGAAAGUUGCCAACUAAUGACCGACAAAAAAAUUUACUCACUAAUGAUAUCAUAGGUUCUAACAUUACAAACUUUCAGAUGAUAACAUAUUUCUUUGAGAUGGAAAGUUGAGGCAACUUGCUUGUAAUGUUCAAAGUUAGGUGGAAGAUCCUUUGUCCAAUGUGAUAUAUUUCUCAAUGGUUUCAUAAAUCUGACCGAUGGAUUAAAUUUAUGCAAUUGCAAAAGUUUUAGGAACAAUUAGCCAAAAAAAUAAGUUUAAAACUCAAUCGACACAAUUACAAUAAGUUUAUGACUUUUUUGAUAAUUUUCUCUGCUUCUAGGAAAGUCUAACAUCAGAUAUAAGAGUACCUAUAGAGUCACUCGAAUCUAUAGCAACUGACAGUUAGUCAAAGGUGAUUAUUCAUGAUGUUUUAAGGUGGUUGAAGUAGAUGACCUAGAGAGUAGUUGCAAAUAUUGAGUUAAAUGCUAUGGGUGCAGCAUGGUAGUUUCGAGUUUGGAGAUAUGAAGAGUGAAGACUGAUGGACGGUUGUGAGUUUGGAGAUAAGGAGUAACAUCUAGAAAGCUCCAAGGUUCCUCCACAUGUAGCUCAAUUUUUUUUUAAGUGCUGACUUUCUACAUAUAACAGAAUUAUCUAAACUGAAAUGGUGCAAUCUUGUUGGGGACAAAAAAAGUUAGGCUAUGUUUCAAAGGAAUCGGUUACUUUUGGCUUUCAUUAUAUGUGCUACGAGUUAGAAAAUGCCGCGGAGAGACAACUGAUUUCAACGACAACUAUGGCUAUGACAACAGAAGGAACUGAAGAGGUAGCGUGGUCUAAUGACUUGAUUGGUGAUGAUGGCUUGGAAAUCCGGUUGUUUUGGUGUUCAUGUCAAGAGAGGAUUUGACAUCGAAAAAGUUUCUUGCCGCAAAGAUUUUUGCAGACAUGCGAACUGAGUUCAAUCGUUUGGAGUAGUUUGAGCCCAACGCAGUUUUGAUGGACAUCUAAAGUAGUUAAGCAUCUAUUGAGGUAUUGGGAGGGCCUGCAUGGAUGACGAGCACCGUGACCUGCCCUUGAACAUUGAGCCAAGCGAAAAAUUGUUAAAUUUGGGGCUCAAAAUUCUAGUCAAAUUUGGAGUUGGGGUCAAGUCUAGAGAUCGAUAGGUCCAGGAUUUUUUGGACCAAUGGCCGAGGCUUCGAACCAGGAGCUUCCCAAUAAUCUGUUGCUACUACGCUCAGGGUGGGCACCUGACUAGAGGCCGACAUAAACCUCUUGGCUGUCCGGUUUUGUUUAGCCUAUUUUAAUAACACACACUUUUGUGAGUUUCUGGAAUGACUUAUUUUUUAAGAAUUGCAAGAUAACAUUGAUAGAUUUAUUUUGAGAGUGACCUUGGGUAGGGAAACAUGUGAGUGAUUGUAAUUAUGUAGUCUCUAUUCAUAAUGGAUUUCUCUUCUAUUGACUCUUUUCAAGGAGUAGGUACCGACAUUCAGGUUGAAUGACAUAAAUUUCUGGUGAUCUUUGUCAUAACUCGUUGAUUUUCCUGAUAUUUUUUUUUUCAUAUUAGAUUUGAAUUGCUAGCUUGAAUAGUUAUUUCACAAUGCAUCCACAUCCAUUUUGCAUCACACACAUACUAUGUGUUUGUAAAAAAAAAAAAAAUCUAGUUUAUAUAAAACUCGAUAGGAUAUAUAAGAUUUCAAUCUCUCAGACCCUAUUGAUGAACAAUGCUUUCAGCAUCAAAUCAUCUAAUAAAAUAAAAUUAAUUAGUCUUUGAUUGGUAUUCGUUAUUAGCAAAUAAUAAUAAAUAGAAAAAACCAUAUUUUGCAGAGAAAUUUGCUAUUUGAAUCUUGAACUUAUUAUACAUAUUUAAUUCAAUUUUAAACAUUUUAGUUGAUUCACUAUAGGUCUAAACCCUUACAUGACAUUUUAAUAUAGUCCUGUUGAUUAUUCUUGCCUCAAAUUAUUGACGUGGCGAUCCAGUCAUCCCGUCUAUCAAACACAAACAACUUUACUCGAAACGAUACUGUUUUGCUUAAAUUUCUUAGUUUCUUAAUUUUUAUCCUUUUCUUUAUUCUUUCUUUUUUCCUUUUCUGUCCACUGUUUAUUUUUUUGGUCUGGUAAAGCGUGAACGCUUAUGACAACAAUAUUUUGAGCAUGAUCAUCCAUAUCCGUAAGCCACCACUCAAAUCACGCCAAACAACUCCUCAACUAUCUCAGUUGACGAAUUUCUAACACUCUAUGAGCCUACAGAAAGUGGGCUCAUUUGAAUUCCUUUCGACUUCUACCAUCUGAAUUCCCUCCCAUAUGAGACGGAAAUGAUUGAAACCCCAAAAAACUCGAUCAGCUUCGCAAUAAUCUGAUAUAUGCUAAAGCAUGAAUGAACAAUCGCCUACAAAUUAAGAAGCAGUAGAAGCGGCUUCAAUCUCCCUGGCCUUCAAUGGCCACCGAGCUCGAAGCAGCUGAACUUGAGUUGCUGCAAGCUCGCCAAGAUGUGGAGGCUCGGCCCAUGGCUGUCGAGCUCGACGAGCCAUGGCAACACCUUGUAGAGUUGAGCAACAAAGGCGUAUGCAGAAUUCAAUCGUGAAAUCAAGGUAGAAGGACGUGCCAGACCUGGUAAAGUAGGAGGUGAAAAAAAAGAGAGAGAAUAAAAUAUAAGUUCUGCAUAAAGGCAUCGUUUUGAGUAAAUUUGUCGAACAUGCCACUUAAGAUGGUAUGUGAUGACUAGACCACCACAUUAACAAUUUCAGAAGGGCUUUCAUCAGGGGGACUUGAUUGGAGUUUCACUAAGGGUUUGGACAACACUGAAUCAACUGCAAGAUAUGCAAUAGAUCUACGAUGGGAAUGACAAUAUCUUCGUAGCUGCCCACGAUUGCCUAAAAAUUCCCAGAAAUACUACGGCUCUCUUAAGUCAUAAACCAGCUGACUUAAGAUUAAGAGAGCUGUACCUUUCAAACAAAAACAGAAUGAGUCGUAUCAUCUCACCGACCGUCUUGAUUGACCCGCAACUUCCCUUGUUCACCGUUUUGGUCCAAUCAGGAGCAUGUGCACGACCCUUAUUUGAGAUUACGAUCACCAGCUCGAUGUCACCACUUUGCCAUUUUAAGACUGUCUAAGUUUGAUCAGAAGAAACUUCGCAGAACCUUCACCAUGACUCCCGAUACGUCAACCAAAGGGAAUUAUCUUCAGAGUCUUCCCCUCAACUUUUGUGGUCCAUCAUCGUUAUGGUCGCGAGCACAAAUAAUUUAUAUGGAAAUCAUCAUAAGCCUCUCCCAUCAAUAAUAUAUAAUUUGAGUCAGAAAAUAUCAUCCGUUAAGAUUGCGAAGUAGAGAGAUUGAUUGAAGCUAAUCACAAUUCCAACACGAAAAGAUGAACACCCAAUUUUCUUCACAACCGGAUUAAAAAGUCGUCAGUGUGGAAUAAUUGGGUGGUUGAAAACUUGCAUCCAUCCUUCAGUUUUUGAGACUGACAGUGACGUACUUUUCUCCAUGAGAUGAUGAGGAAAUUCAUGGCGAGAUAUUGCGUCGAUUUUGAGAGCGCCGGCGUUCGUGGUGGUGAUGAUGGGUCGGGUCUUCUGCUGCUUAAGGCCGGAGUGAUCUUCGUGGCGUGCUUGAUGCUCGCGUCCAUCAUCGUGUUUUCCAGCGCCAAUGAAGGCAACGGCUCGCUCUGCUCUGGCCGCAAAAAGAAAAAUUCACUUGGAGGACAUUUUGGGAGUCGUGCCGUAAUUAAGCCAAUUGCGUAAGAGUGCUGCUAGGCUAACGGCCACCGUCAUUCUCAGAAGAACAUUCCAAAUUCAAAGAAAGGGACAACUGAAAGGUCAAGUUUAGCCUUUUUUGACGUGGCCAUUAUUAUUAUUAUUAUUAUUUUUUUGGUGAAAAAUUAUUUAUUGAGUGCUGCUAUAUCAGUGGUCACGGAGACCUAUUGACCACAUAUUCCUCUCACAGCCCCAUACUAACCGAUCGGACUUAUGGAGGAAUCUAAAUGUAAAUUCUGUAAAUUUUGCUUACCUUAAUGAAUUAAACAAUAGAAACUUAUUAAGAAACAAUGGACGAUGCACAUGAUCUCUCAACGAGUACACUCCUCAUUUCCAAUGUAAAAAGUAUAUUGAUGGCGUAUGAAGUACAUAUUAUGUUCUGUGGGUAUAUUUGAUUUGGUGAUGCAAUUUAUAUUUUAAGUCAUAUCAUAUUAAUGAAUUUAUAUGAUAAUUUGAAUAAAGAUGAUUCGUCUAGAUUCAUCAAAAGUCAAAAGAUGAAUUUGAGACUUUUCCGUCAAAUCCAAAAUAUUAUGUGAGUUUUAAACGAUUUUUGGGUCAACAUUCGUGUAAAAAAAUAAAUUAUUGUGACUAAUUGAAAUACAAGCCAAUCUUUGAUAUCCCAUCUUUUUUUUUUCUUUUGUCACAAUGAAUUGUAAAUUAAUCUGAAAUUAAUAGAUAAACUUACUGUAUUAAAAUCACUGGCUGUAGUGGCUCCACUGUAUAAGAGUUCCAUUGAUCCUUCCCCAAAGGUGAGGGGUUCCUAGAUCAUCAAAAAAAAAAAAAAAACUUACCGUAUUAAAGAAACUGUACUUUUUACGGAAGAGAUAAUUUUUUUUUUUUUUUUAUGAAUAGAAGGAUGAGAACGGAGACUAGCACAAAUAAUUUUUAAUGAAUAGCAUGUGAUGACUGGAUUGCUACAUUAUCAAUUCCAAGUGAGUUUUUGUCAGGAGGACUUGGUUGGAGUUUCACUCAAAAGUUUCUAACAACGUUGAAGCAAUUACAAGGUGUGCCAUAAGUCUCUGACAGGAAUAACAAUUUCUUGGUAGCUACUGUAUUGCCCAGAAAGUUCCCAAGAUACAACGGCUCUCUUAAGUCAUAGACCAGCUGACUUAAGAUUAAGAAAGCCGUACCUUUCUACCAAAAACAGAAUUGACCGGUAGAUCGGCCAAAAUACAACUCGUCCCACGUCGAACAUGGAGUGUCUUGAUUGACCCGCAACUUCCCUUGUUCACCGUUUUGGACCAACCAGGGGCAUGUGCACGACUCUUUCUGAGAUUAGGAUCACGAGUUCGACGUCACCACUUCGCCAUCAGAAGCAAUUUCGUAGAACCUUUGUCACGACUCCCAACAAGUCAUCCGAAGGGAAUUGUCUCCGAAGUUGUCCCCUCGACUUUUGUGGUCUAUCACCGUUAUGGCCAGUGCUUAAAUUUAAUGUUCCUCGCCUUAGGAGUAGAGUUGAAUUCUUGCUUCUCUCCAUGAGAUGAUGAGGAAAUUCAUCGCGAGAUAUUGCGUCGAUUUCGAGAGCGCUGGCGUUCGCGGUAGUGACGAUGGGUCGGGUCUUCUGCUGCUUAAGGCCGGAGUGAUCUUCGCGGUGUGCUGGAUGCUCGCGUCCAUCAUCGUGUUUUCCUGCGCCAAUGAAGGCAACGGCUCGCUCUGCUCUGGUCGCAAAAAGGAAAAUUCACUAGGAGGACAUUUUGGGAGUCGUGCCAUAAUUAAGCCAAUUGCGUAAGAGUGCCGCUAGGCUAAGAGCCACCGUUAUUCUAAGAAGGACAUUCCAAAUUCAAAGAAAGGGGCAACAGAAAGGUCAAGUUUAGCGUUUUUUGACGUGGCCAUUAUUUAUUGAGUGCUGCUAUAUCAGUAAUCACGGAGACCUAUUGACCAAAAAUUCCUCUCACAGCCCCAUACCAACCGAUCGGACUUAUGGAGGAAUCUAAAUGUAAAUUCUGUAAAUUUUGCUUACCUUAAUGAAUUCAACAAUAGAAACUUAUUAAGAAACAAUGGACGAUGCACAUGAUCUCUCAACGAGUACACUCCUUAUUUCCAAUGUGAAAAGUAUAUCAAUGGUGUAUGAAGUACAUAUUAUGUUCUGUGGGUAUCUUUGAUUGGUGAUGCAAUUUAUAUUUAAGUUAUAUCAUAUUAGUGAAUUUAUAUAAUAAUUUGAAUAAAGUUCAUUCAUCUAGAUUCAUCAAAAGUCAAAAGAUGAAUUUGACACUUUUCCGUCAAAAUCUAAAAUAUUAUGUGAGUUUUAAAAGAUUUUUGAGUCAACAUUCGUGUAAAAAAAAAUUAUUGUGACUAAUUGAAAUACAAGCCAAUCUUUGAUAUCGCAUCUUUUUUUUUUUUCCUUUUUCACAAUGAAUUGUAAAUGAAUCUGCAAUUAAUUAAUAAACUUACCGUAUUAAAGAAACAGUACUUUUUACGGAGGAGUUUUUUUUUUUUUUUUUAAUGAAUAGAGGGAUGAGAAUGGAGACUAGCACAAAUAAUUUAUAUGGAAAUCAUCAUAAGCCUCUCGCAUCAAUAAUAUAUAAUUCGAGUCAGAAAACAUCAUCCGUUAAGAUCGCGAUGUAUAGAGAUUGAUGAAGCUAAUCACAAUUCCAACACGAAUAAAUGAACACCACUUUUCUUCACAACCGGAUCAAAAAGUCGUCAGUGUGGAAUAAUUGGGUGGUUGAGAACUUGCAUCCAUCCUUCAGUUUUUGAGAUUGACAGUGACGUACUUUUCUCAUCCCUAUAUAAUUGAAGGUCCCUCAUCUCAUGUAUAUUGUCUCCUGCCUACAACUAUUGAUACCGCGAAUGGUUGAGUUCUUGCUUCUCUUCACGACAUAAUGAGGCCAUCAACGGCGAGCAGUUGGAUCGAUUUAGCAAGCCCCGGUGUUCAUGGUGAUGAUGGAGCGGAUCUUCUGCUACUCAAGUCUGGAGUGAUCUUCAUGCUGUGCUUGAUCCUUGCGUCAGUUGUUAUCUUUUCCUGUGGCGACUCUCAGAAUGAAAAAGGCGGCCGUGCUGGAAGCAGUAGUCGGGGUGCGGCGGCUGCAAGCGUGGCGGCUGCAAGCGCGGCGGCUGCAAGCACAGUGGCUAGUUCGGGUGGAGGCGGGGGCGGCGGAGGGUGUUGAAUUGACCUUAUAUUUAUAUACCUUUAAGGCAUGAGUUAAAAAAAAAAAAAAGCAUUUUCAUUUCAAAAAAUUGCGAUGCGAUAGUGUGGUCUGUGUUUCAUAUUAGGAUUGCUAUUUAGGGUUAAGUAUAUUGUUAUUUACAUAUGUUGUAUUUAAGUAUAAUUGUACUCUCACCCUAUACUUGUGUUCCUCAUUUGAUAAUGCACGGGCUGUUAUAAUCCUCUCUCUUUCAUUACAAAUUCUGUAAAUUUUGCUUGCCUUAAUGAAUUCAACAAUACAAACUUAUUAAGAAACAAUGGACAAUGCACAUAAUCUCUCAACGAGUACACUCCUUAUUUCCAAUGUGAAAAGUAUAUUGAUGGCGUAUGAAGUACAUAUUAUGUUCUGUGGGUAUCUUUGAUUUGGUGAUGCAAUUUAUAUUUAAGUUAUAUCACAUUAGUGAAUUUAUAUGAUAAUUUGAAUAAAGAUCAUUCAUCUAGAUUCAUCAAAAGUACAUUUUCUUCACAGCCGGAUUAAAAAGUCGUCAGUGUGGAAUAAUUGGGUGGCUGAAAACUUGCAUCGAUCCUUCAGUUUCUGAGAUUGACAGUGACGUACUUUUCUCAUCCCUAUAUAAAUGAAGGUCCCUCAUCUCAUGUAUAUUGUCUCCUUCCUACUACUUUUGAUACCGCGAAUGGUUCGAGUUCUUGCUUCUCUUCACGACAUAAUGAGGAAAUCAACGGCGAGCAAUUGGAUCGAUUUAGCAAGCCCCGGUGUUCAUGGUGAUGAUGGAGCGGAUCUUCUGCUACUCAAGUUCGGAGUGAUCUUCGUGCUGUGCUUGAUCCUUGCGUCAGUUGUUAUAUUUUCGUGUGGCGACUCUCAGCACAAAAAAAGACGCACAGGCAUAUGCGGCAGUGGUUGCGGUGGUUGCGGUGGAGGCGACGGUGGCGAUGGAGAUGGAGGAGGCGGC